This 64-nucleotide transfer RNA is filed under the name Elaphe moellendorffi (Flower snake). RNAcentral's name for it is "tRNA-Val". Lineage: Eukaryota; Metazoa; Chordata; Lepidosauria; Squamata; Colubridae. The record is from RNAcentral.
CAAAAAGUAGCUUACAUAAAGCAUUCGACCUACACUCGAACGACAUUCACACCAAUCUUUUUGA